This 342-nucleotide ribosomal RNA is filed under the name Cladorhiza elsaae. Its description in RNAcentral is "partial 28S ribosomal RNA". The stretch from base 1 to 95 matches the Rfam family "Bacterial large subunit ribosomal RNA", at positions 467 to 562 of the family's 2925-position model. The record is from RNAcentral. Lineage: Eukaryota; Metazoa; Porifera; Demospongiae; Poecilosclerida; Cladorhizidae.
UAAAUACCGGCACGAGACCGAUAGCGAACAAGUACCGUGAGGGAAAGGUGAAAAGUACUUUGAAAAGAGAGUCAAAAAGACCGCGAAACCGUUAGGAGGGAAACGAAUGCAGCUGAAGCGGCUCCCCGUCAGGCUCAGGAGGAGGCGCGUGGGUUCCCGGGGUGCGGGCGGAGGCCUGAAGAGGCUCCGGUUCGUCUUCGGGUGCGGGCCCGCCGUCCACUCUGCACUUCUGCGGGGAGCCGGCCAACGGCAGUUGCCCCCGGCUCUUACGAGGCGCUUCGGGGGAGGUGGCCCUGCGCUCCGGCGCGGGGAGCGUACAGCCCCGGCGCCCGGCAGUCCGGG